RNAcentral lists this ribosomal RNA (412 nucleotides) under uncultured microorganism. RNAcentral's name for it is "bacterial SSU rRNA". It matches the Rfam family "Archaeal small subunit ribosomal RNA", at positions 459 to 872 of the family's 1478-position model. The record is from RNAcentral.
CAGCAGCCGCGGUAAUACCAACCCCGCGAGUGGUCGGGACGUUUAUUGGGCCUAAAGCGUCCGUAGCCGGCCCGGUAAGUCCCUCCUUAAAGCCCACGGCUCAACCGUGGGAGCGGAGGGAUACUGCCGGGCUAGGGGGCGGGAGAGGCCGGGGGUACUCCUGGGGUCGGGGCGAAAUCCUAUAAUCCCAGGAGGACCACCAGUGGCGAAGGCGCCCGGCUAGCACGCGCCCGACGGUGAGGGACGAAAGCUGGGGGAGCAAAGGGGAUUAGAUACCCCCGUAGUCCCAGCUGUAAACGAUGCAGGCUAGGUGUUAGGCGGGCUGCGUGCCCGCCUAGUGCCGGAGGGAAGCCGUUAAGCCUGCCGCCUGGGGAGUACGGCCGCAAGGCUGAAACUUAAAGGAAUUGGCGGG